CCCUGGCUAGCUCAGCUGGCAGAGCGCUCCACUGGAAAUGAAGAGGACCCUGGUUCGAUACCGGGACCAGGUG
This 73-nucleotide transfer RNA is filed under the name Ixodes scapularis (black-legged tick). It matches the Rfam family "tRNA". From Rfam's summary of the family: Transfer RNA (tRNA) molecules are approximately 80 nucleotides in length. Their secondary structure includes four short double-helical elements and three loops (D, anti-codon, and T loops). The record is from Rfam by way of RNAcentral. Lineage: Eukaryota; Metazoa; Arthropoda; Arachnida; Ixodida; Ixodidae.